AGUGAACGCUGGCGGUAGGCCUAACACAUGCAAGUCGAACGGCAGCACAGUAAGAGCUUGCUCUUACGGGUGGCGAGUGGCGGACGAGUGAGGAAUACAUCGGCAUCUACUUUUUCUUGGGGGAUAACGUAGGGAAACUUACGCUAAUACAGCAUACGACCUACGGGUGAAAGCAGGGGAUCUUCGGCCCUUGCGCGAGUGAAUGAGCCGAUGUCGGAUUAGCUAGUUGGCGGGGUAAAGGCCCACCAAGGCGACGAUCCGUAGCUGGUCUGAGAGGAUGAUCAGCCACACUGGAACUGAGACACGGUCCAGACUCCUACGGGAGGCAGCAGUGGGGAAUAUUGGACAAUGGGCGAAAGCCUGAUCCAGCCAUGCCGCGUGGGUGAAGAAGGCCUUCGGGUUGUAAAGCCCUUUUGUUGGGAAAGAAAAGCAGUGGGUUAAUACCCCGCCGUGCUGACGGUACCCAAAGAAUAAGCACCGGCUAACUUCGUG
RNAcentral lists this ribosomal RNA (492 nucleotides) under uncultured bacterium. Its description in RNAcentral is "partial 16S ribosomal RNA". It matches the Rfam family "Bacterial small subunit ribosomal RNA", at positions 29 to 507 of the family's 1533-position model. The record is from RNAcentral.